This 21-nucleotide microRNA is filed under the name Populus trichocarpa (black cottonwood). Lineage: Eukaryota; Viridiplantae; Streptophyta; Magnoliopsida; Malpighiales; Salicaceae. The record is from RNAcentral.
UAGCCAAGGAUGACUUGCUCG